UGAAACUUAGAAAAGCUGUAUAGAGGGGCAUGGCUCUUACAACCAGUAGAUUUAGAUUUCAGUCUCAGUUCUCAUGCCUGCUCAUCCCUUGCAACUCACCACCCUAAAAUCUGUUUCUUCAUCUACACAGAUAAACAACAUGCUGCUGUGAGAGGUGAAGAAACUUCAAUGUACAAGUGCUCAAUAGAUAUUAAUGAGGUUACUAUUUUGUGUGCUCUGUGGACUACUCAUCUUCUCUUGCUUGGUGAGUUGGUAAAAUGCAUUUCACUGGGUUUAACUCAGAUCAGCAGCAUAAGGCCUAAGAUGUGCAAUUCUUCUGGGUAAAUUUUAGAUGUAUUAAAAUGUAAUAAUUUCUUUGGUAAUUGUUAUAGCUUGUUUAAAUGUUCCCCCAAAGCCUCAUGCAG
This 404-nucleotide long non-coding RNA is filed under the name Cavia porcellus (domestic guinea pig). RNAcentral describes it as "lncRNA (ENSCPOG00000038681.1)". The record is from RNAcentral. Lineage: Eukaryota; Metazoa; Chordata; Mammalia; Rodentia; Caviidae.